CUUUUGCUGGCGACCGGCACACGGGUGAGUAACACGUAUCCAACCUGCCCUUUACUCGGGGAUAGCCUUUCGAAAGAAAGAUUAAUACCCGAUAGCAUAAUGAUUCCGCAUGGUUUCAUUAUUAAAGGAUUCCGGUAAAGGAUGGGGAUGCGUUCCAUUAGGUUGUUGGUGAGGUAACGGCUCACCAAGCCUUCGAUGGAUAGGGGUUCUGAGAGGAAGGUCCCCCACAUUGGAACUGAGACACGGUCCAG
Molecule: ribosomal RNA, 251 nt
Filed under: uncultured bacterium
Lineage: Bacteria
Description: partial 16S ribosomal RNA
Rfam family: Bacterial small subunit ribosomal RNA
Source: RNAcentral